AAGCCUCAUGUACUUCUUGGUUUGUCAGGAGUUGGAGGCAUAUUUCAUGAGGAGGUGCUGAGGGCCAUGAAAGAGUCAGAUUCUGUUAGACCUGCAAUUUUUGCCAUGUCAAAUCCUACAAACAAUGCUGAAUGCUGUCCUGUUGAUGCUUUCAAGCUUGCUGGAGAAGAUAUUGUUUUUGCUAGUGGGAGUCCCUUUGCAAAUGUUGAUCUAGGGAAUGGUAAGAUAGGCCAUGUAAAUCAAGCGAAUAACAUGUAUCUCUUCCCUGGCAUAGGGCUGGGAGCUCUUCUUUCUGGCGCUCGAAACAUAAGUGAUACAAUGUUAGAAGCUGCUGCUGAGUGCCUCGCUUCUUACAUGUCCGAUGACGAAAUCAAUAGAGGAAUCUUGUAUCCAUCCAUUGACGAUAUUCGGGAUAUUACAGCAGAGGUGGGAGCUGCUGUUUUACGGGCUGCUGUGGCUGAAGACCUGGCAGAAGGUCACGGUGACGUUGGAGUGAGAGAGUUGCAGCAUAUGUCAAAGGAAGAGACCAUUGAACACGUGAGAGAAAAUAUGUGGUAUCCUGUCUAUGGCCCUCUUGUUCACGAAUAGUGAAGCACUUCCUGGGUUGAGAUCACAGGUCCACGAGAAGUGGAGUAUGGUCUGGUGCUCCAAAUUGCCUGUAAAGGUCAAAAAGUUUCACAAACUUGACUGUAUUAGGUGUACAAUUACAAGGACAAAUGUUGCUGAACCACGAAAGAGUCUAGGGCUCUUCAAAUAUUUCAUUUUUUUGUUGUAAGCCAUUCUUGUUUAUCUCAUGAAGCAUAUGUAACCUUUAAAUUGAGGAGUAGGAGAUGUAUUUGUUAUCCCUGAAUAAAAGCUGAUACUUUCUCUCAGCAGCACCGCCUAUUGAAC
Molecule: unclassified non-coding RNA, 891 nt
Filed under: Hevea brasiliensis (rubber tree)
Lineage: Eukaryota; Viridiplantae; Streptophyta; Magnoliopsida; Malpighiales; Euphorbiaceae
Source: RNAcentral